Molecule: long non-coding RNA, 1643 nt
Filed under: Amphibalanus amphitrite
Lineage: Eukaryota; Metazoa; Arthropoda; Thecostraca; Balanomorpha; Balanidae
Description: uncharacterized LOC122375616
Source: RNAcentral
UGGGGUGGAAUAGGGGAGGGGUGGGAUGGGAUUGUCAUGUAAUUAUUGUGUGAUGUGUGUCUACAUUGUAACAUAUACUCGCAUCUGCUGUCCGUCACCGCCUGACUCGGCGUGACCGACAUGCCUGUCACCGAUAGUGGCCGCUAGGGACCCCUCAGGUCCCAGUCGGACCCUUCAGGUCCCAGUCGGACCCCUCAGGUCCCAGUCGGACCCCUCAGGUCCCCGUCGGACCCCUCAGGUCCCAGUCGGAUCCACCGUCCACCGCCUUACCGACCGUUUCUCUCUUCCCGGUCAGCGUUAUGAGGUGACGGCUCGGACCGACCCCAUGUGUGUGCUAUAGUGUAUGUGGGAGUGUGGGGUGGGGUGGGAAGGGACGGGUGGAGUGGGGAUAAUGUGUACGCCAGUACUGGUCCAUAUAGACAGACCAUAGGCACGUUGUUGUUUGCCCGUGCCGAGCUUGGCCCGCCGGCCCGCUAUUGUAUGUUCGUACCGAUGUCUUUAUGGAGCUCUGUAUUGGCGACUACCGCCAAUCUGUCAUUAUAUUGUUCGAACUCAAUAUGUACGUACCAUGUAGUGUAAGUGGCGCAUACCGUCUCCGAUCCAUUGACUAGGAGCGCCAGCUGUAUGUUUGUGUGUGGAGCCCUAUUCGUGGCCUCCUGCCGUCCGUGGACCCUGCUGCCACCGACAAACGUAGUAGAUAUGUGUUCGUCCAGACCGGAUGCCCUUUGUGGCCGACUAUUGCUGAUGGCUGUGUUCUGUUCGUAGCCUGAUGCCGAUCGAGGCUGCCCUGUCGUCCGUGGCCCCGCUGCCACCGACCAGUCAUUGACGCUCAGUGACCUUACGCUGACUAACCUGUUUGGUCUGAUGACGCCCAGCGUCCCUGUACGAUUCGCUGAUGUGUGUCGCACCGAUGUGCUGCCCGUCUCGGUCGGCCCGCACCCAGGGCUCGUCUGGCCCCCCUCUACCCCCCCCCCCUUCCCCGGCACCCUCUGUCCCCUGUAGCCCCGGGGUCGUGGCCGGCCGCUGUCGGUCGACCCUCCCCGAUGCCGCACGGGGUCACGGUGCCCUCCCUGCCCCGAGGCGGUGGUGUGGGGUCGGCGCCCUCCGGUGGGUCUCGGCCGGUGUGGGCCGGGAGGGCCCCGGACUCCCUCUCCCUGGCUUGGUGCCUGGUGGCUGGUGACGGGCGGCCAUGGUGAUGGCGUGGUGCGGCUCACCACACGAUGGUGAGGCACGGAUGCAGGCCUGGUGCCGCUUAGUGCUUAGAUGGUAGCGUCACACGGGGAGCGCUGCUCUGGUGAUGGUGUGGGCCGCUACGGCGGCGGGCAGGUGGGCCCCAGUGGCCGCCCCGACCGACGCGUCGGACCGCCAGCCGGUGCCGGGGCGCACAGCUGGCGGUGCCCUGCUUUGGUGAUGGUGAUGGUGGUGCAGAUCCCCAGCAACCCCCUCCCCUCCCUCCCUGGCCCGCCGCGCCGGCCCGCCGUGGUGCCUCCCCCACUGCCGCCUCCCUCCUCCCCCUCCCCGAUCCUCCCGCCAGCCUUGCCCGGGGUGUGUGGCCGACCGCCAUGGUGACCCUCCGGGGUCUGUAACUAUUGGCUUAUUUAUCUCUGUGCAUGGUUUGUAAAACGGACCGGCAUGACUGUUGC